RNAcentral lists this transfer RNA (71 nucleotides) under Candidatus Lloydbacteria bacterium RIFCSPHIGHO2_02_FULL_50_11. Its description in RNAcentral is "tRNA-Gly". It matches the Rfam family "tRNA". Rfam says of the family: Transfer RNA (tRNA) molecules are approximately 80 nucleotides in length. Their secondary structure includes four short double-helical elements and three loops (D, anti-codon, and T loops). Further hydrogen bonds mediate the characteristic L-shaped molecular structure. tRNAs have two regions of fundamental functional importance: the anti-codon, which is responsible for specific mRNA codon recognition, and the 3' end, to which the tRNAs corresponding amino acid is attached (by aminoacyl-tRNA synthetases). tRNAs cope with the degeneracy of the genetic code in two manners: having more than one tRNA (with a specific anti-codon) for a particular amino acid; and 'wobble' base-pairing, i.e. permitting non-standard base-pairing at the 3rd anti-codon position. The record is from RNAcentral. RNAcentral also lists the same sequence under 1 other name. Lineage: Bacteria; Candidatus Lloydiibacteriota.
GCGAGUAUAGUACAGUGGCAGUACAUCUGCUUCCCAAGCAGAUGACGCGGGUUCGAUUCCCGCUACUCGCA